UAUGGCAAGCGGAAUAUCCCAUGUGUGUGUGAACUGUGAACUAUAUAUAGCUUUCAUUGCACUUCUUCACUAUCUUUUCUUUCUCCGACCAUUUCUCCAAUCUCUCUCUUUCUCUCUCUCGAUCUCUGAGAUACUCUAGGGUUUCCUUUCUAGGGUUUUUGCUUUUCUGGCCUUUUCUUCUCACAUAGUCACAUUCCUCGAAAUUGAUAUUGGCUUCUGCAAAUUAGUCGAGAUGAAGCUGACUGUAAAGACAUUGAAAGGAACCCACUUUGAAAUCCGGGUUCAGCCCGGCGAUACGGUUAUGGCGGUAAAGAAGAAUAUUGAAGAUGUGCAAGGAAAAGACAGCUACCCAUGUGGGCAACAGUUAUUGAUUCAUAAUGGGAAGGUGUUGAAAGAUGAAACUACAUUGGAACAGAACAAAGUCAGUGAGGAUGGUUUUCUUGUUGUCAUGCUUAGCAAGAGUAAAGCCAUGGGAUCAUCUGGGGCCUCAUCUACUCAGCCUACAAAAAAUGCCCCAGUAGCUGAACCAUCUCCUCCUCCUGCUGCAGCUGAGGUUCCUUCAGAGGCACGUGCCUCAACGAGCACUACAUCUGCUUCAGAGAGAGCGACUUCUGAGGUUCCUGCAUCUGAUGUCUAUGGUCAAGCUGCAUCCAAUUUGGUUGCUGGUAAUAAUCUUGAGCAGAUUACUCAACAGAUAAUGGAUAUGGGUGGUGGAAACUGGGACAAGGAGACUGUCACACGUGCACUUCGUGCAGCUUACAACAAUCCAGAGCGAGCUGUGGAUUAUUUAUAUUCUGGUAUUCCAGAAGCAACAGAGGUUGCUGUCCCAGUGGCUAGCUUCCCUUCUAAUCAGGCAUCUGGUGGGGCUAAUCCCACAAUUGACACUGGUGUAGCAGGGUCUGCACCUCUAUCUGGAGCACCUAAUUCUUCUCCUCUAAACUUGUUUCCUCAGGAGACACUUAAUCCCAGUGCUGCUGCUGGUGGAUCGCUUGAUUUCCUUAGAAACAGCCAGCAGUUCCAAGCAUUGCGUUCAAUGGUUCAAGCCAAUCCACAAAUUCUACAGCCAAUGCUCCAGGAGCUAAGCAAGCAAAAUCCUCAACUUCUGAGACUAAUUCAGGAGCACCAUGCUGAGUUCCUUCAGCUAAUUAAUGAACCUCUUGAAGGUUCUGAAGGAGAUCUUUUUGAUCAGCCUGAGCAAGAUAUGCCCCAUGCUAUCAGUGUGACACCAGCCGAACAAGAGGCUAUUGAACGCCUUGAAGCAAUGGGGUUUGAUAGAGCCCUUGUCAUUGAAGCAUUUUUAGCUUGUGACCGUAAUGAGGAAUUAGCAGUCAAUUACUUGCUGGAGAAUGCUGGUGAUUUUGAAGACUGAAAGGUUGUAGUUCCUUAGUAGAAAAGUCAGAAUUGAACUAUGGAAUCUGAGCCUCAGGAAUGAAGUAGGGUGUGGUGGAUCAUAUCAGAUAGCUUUCAGGGGAUAUGACCAUGGUGUCGAGAGUUUUUUGUGGAAGCGGCACAAUAUUCCCCCUUCACAAAAUUCGGAAGCAUUUAGCACAUUGGUCCUGCAAUUCCGGGUUUUAUUUGGAUGGUGAUUUCACUUGGGUACCUUCUGAUCCAUUAACGUGAGAGCCUUCUGAGUCUGCAUGGGGAAAGCUUAUUUGGAUGCUGCAGUGGAACCGUACAAUGCGUUUAAAUUUAUCCUUGAUUCUUUCGUGGUGUUCAUGCGUGUCCUAUGACAUGGGGAAUUGCCACUCUCUCUGAUAAUACUGAUAAGACGUGAUUUUUUUCUUGUGUUUUUUCUCCUUUGGCAUCUAAUCUGUGGCUCACAAUAUUUGUCAUACAUAUUAUAGGCUGCGUUUGGUUGGACGCAAAAUAAAACUAAAGGAAAAUGAAGGGGAUUGAUUAGGGCACUUUA
Nelumbo nucifera (sacred lotus) is the source of this 1909-nucleotide RNA transcript. It is a transcript of the gene named ubiquitin receptor RAD23b-like, with no coding region annotated. The record is from RefSeq and is a predicted model, not a curated record. NCBI's taxonomy places the organism in Eukaryota, Viridiplantae, Streptophyta, Magnoliopsida, Proteales, Nelumbonaceae.